This 253-nucleotide ribosomal RNA is filed under the name uncultured bacterium. RNAcentral's name for it is "partial 16S ribosomal RNA". It matches the Rfam family "Bacterial small subunit ribosomal RNA", at positions 524 to 776 of the family's 1533-position model. The record is from RNAcentral.
UACGUAGAUGGCAAGCGUUGUCCGGAUUUACUGGGCGUAAAGAGCGCGCAGGCGGUCGUUCAAGUCGAGUGUGAAAGCCCCCGGCUCAACUGGGGAGGGUCACGCGAUACUGAUCGACUCGAAGGCAGGAGAGGGAAGUGGAAUUCCCGGUGUAGUGGUGAAAUGCGGAGAUAUCGGGAGGAACACCAGUGGCGAAGGCGACUUCCUGGCCUGUUCUUGACGCUGAGGCGCGAAAGCUAGGGGAGCAAACGGG